GAUGAACGCUGGCGGCGUGCCUAAUACAUGCAAGUAGAACGCUGAAGGAGGAGCUUGCUCUUCUGGAUGAGUUGCGAACGGGUGAGUAACGCGUAGGUAACCUGCCUGGUAGCGGGGGAUAACUAUUGGAAACGAUAGCUAAUACCGCAUGACAACAGUUAUUGCAUGAUAACUGUUUAAAAGGGGCAACUGCUCCACUACCAGAUGGACCUGCGUUGUAUUAGCUAGUUGGUGAGGUAACGGCUCACCAAGGCGACGAUACAUAGCCGACCUGAGAGGGUGAUCGGCCACACUGGGACUGAGACACGGCCCAGACUCCUACGGGAGGCAGCAGUAGGGAAGCUUCGGCAAUGGACGGAAGUCUGACCGAGCAACGCCGCGUGAGUGAAGAAGGUUUUCGGAUCGUAAAGAUCGGUUGUAAGAGAAGAACGAGUGUGAGAGUGGAAAGUUCACACUGUGACGGUAUCUUACCAGAAAGGGACGGCUAACUACGUG
RNAcentral lists this ribosomal RNA (495 nucleotides) under uncultured bacterium. RNAcentral's name for it is "partial 16S ribosomal RNA". It matches the Rfam family "Bacterial small subunit ribosomal RNA", at positions 28 to 507 of the family's 1533-position model. The record is from RNAcentral.